Molecule: non-coding RNA, 283 nt
Organism: Pelobates cultripes (western spadefoot toad)
Lineage: Eukaryota; Metazoa; Chordata; Amphibia; Anura; Pelobatidae
Source: the annotation of a GenBank genome assembly
CCUUACCAGACGGCGCACUCGCACAACUCUCGGCUGACGUCUCGGAACAGGAGAUGGCAGCCGCGAUUGGAGCCACCAAACCAAAUAAAAGCCCGGGCCCAGAUGGAUACUCAGGCAUCUAUUACAAAACACUUUUUUAGACACACUACUGCCCCAUAUGAUAAGGCUAUAUAACUCCCUACUACAAGCAAAACCACUCCCCAAAGAAAUGCUACAGGCUAACAUCUGCCUCUUACCCAAGCCCAACAAACCCCUAUCAGCCCCAGGCCACUACAGACCCAUA